UAUGUACAUAGGUCGGAACAUCUAGUCAUUGUAGCUUUUUUUUAAUGUUUUUAUUUAUUUGUAAUACAAAUGACAAAUGACUGCCAAUGACAAUCGAAGCACAAACAUUUUUACAAAUAUAAUUGUUUGUAUCAGCUAGGAUCAGUGUAAAGUAUUCGCGGCCACUUACAGCCGGAGAUUCAACGUAAUUACAAUCGUCAGGCAAUUGGAGCAGUAGUGGUGUUAAACGACGCGGACGAAAAGAGGGGAACAGAGGAGUCAAGCUAGCCAAGCAGUGAUUCUGAGUCCACAAACCCAACUAGGAACUUGUGUACAAAAAUAGCGCCGUUACAAAUUCUGCAAUGGCGCAAUGAAAGAAGGUCUAAAAGUUGAAGCCUCAAUUGAUAAGGUGGUAAGAUUCUAUUCGAGUCCCAGUUUAAAUUACGUAAGGCAAAAAUUUAAAAUUGUUUUGAACCGAUUCGAGAAUGGCUUGUUGCUCCUUAUACUGUGGACUCCACACAAGAGGACAAGAGCAAUAUUACAGAACCGGACGAACUAAGGAGACGUGCAGCGUUUUGGUGACAUACGGGUCGUCAAACUCUUUGGACAAACGCUUUAUAAACGCUAGAACACCCUUAGCUUUAUUUACAGUUGCAGCUAUAUGGUUAUUAAAACACAGUAUAUGAUCAAAAAGAACUCCAAGGUCAUUUGAACUCGAAAUUUGUUGGAGGGCAUGAUUUUCUAAAGCGUACGAGACAAAGUGUGGAGUGCGACGGUAAAAAGUCAUAAGUUUGCAUUUAGAAAGGUUCAGAAAGAGGAGAUUUGUUGAACACCAAAUUUGCAACUCGUUUUGGUUGAUUUGAAGGUGUGGGUGUAGGUACCAAUCAGAGUAGGAGAGAUAGAUUUUAACAUCGUCAGCGUAGAAGAGUAUGUUAGAACUUGAGGAAGGUCACACUCAAUAAAAUGAUCAGAAGUAGACCUAAGUGACUUCCUUGUGGCACUCCUGAUGUAACAUUAACGAUAUUCGACAACACAUUAGUAAACAAAACACGGUGUGUGCGGUUAGAAAGAUCCAGUUUAGAAGAUAACUGGGGAAAAAAUUAAAGAAAGCUUGUGAAUGAGCAGAGAAUGGUUCACGGAGUCAAAAGCUUUGCUAAAAUCCGUGAAAAUUACGUCAGUUUGGAGUAAGUUUUGAAAUCCUCGGUUAAUUGCAGAAGAGAACUCGAGAAGGUUUGUCGAUGUUGAUCGAUGUUUAAAAAAAUCGUGUUGGGAUGGAGAAAUAAGAGUACUGCAAUUACCUGGUGACAAGAAACUCAAGCAGCUUCGGGAUGGCGGAAAGCUUUGCAAUACCUCGGUAGUUCUCCAUGUGUGAUCUUGAACUUUUUUGUGAAGCUGAUGUAGGAUUUGUUCCAAAUCACUGGUAGACAAGACCGUUCCAAUGUUAGGUUUAAAAGAAAGAUCAAGUGUUGGCAUAAGUACUGCGCACAGUGUUUUAAAAUACAACUUGGUACCUUGUUUGGACCCAUCGGGAAUGAUAUGUCAAUCGUUGACAAACCUUCUAGAACAUCACUCUUCCCAAAGAAAGGUAGAAAAAUGCUGUUGGCAUGAGGUAAAUGGUAGGUAUACGGAGUGGAUGCGUGGUAGAUACGUGACGAGUACUCUGAUUGCAAGGACUUACGUCUAGAAUUUACGAACGAAUAGAAUUUUUUUUGGAUCACUACGGAAAUUUUUACUACAUCGGGAAAGGUAUUGAUUAUAAAACAGACUAUUAACAGUAAGGAAUUGAGAACGAGCGGAGGAAUAUUGGGUGAAGACAGACAUACAUCCAGUAUUCUAAUACUUUUUAAAGAGCACAGUUGUUCUAUUCAUUAAAUAACACAAAUUCUUGGAGAACUGAGCUUUUUCAGUAGCGUUGUUUUGCAAGGUUGUUAAAGAGACGAUAGCUGUUCAGUUAAUAUAUUCAGGGUUUAUUGUAGCUUAGUUUAUUAUAUAUGUAGUAUCCAAGUACAGCGAAAGGUAAUAGAUUUGAUAGAUAGU
Molecule: long non-coding RNA, 2016 nt
Organism: Drosophila obscura
Lineage: Eukaryota; Metazoa; Arthropoda; Insecta; Diptera; Drosophilidae
Exons: 3
Source: RefSeq, a predicted model, not a curated record